AACGACUCUCGGCAACGGAUAUCUCGGCUCUCGCAUCGAUGAAGAACGUAGCGAAAUGCGACACCUGGUGUGAAUUGCAGAAUCCCGCGAACCAUCGAGUCUUUGAACGCAAGUUGCGCCCGAGGCCAUCCGGUCGAGGGCACGCCUGCCUGGGCGUCACGCCAU
This 165-nucleotide ribosomal RNA is filed under the name Heliconia irrasa. RNAcentral's name for it is "5.8S ribosomal RNA". It matches the Rfam family "5.8S ribosomal RNA". Rfam says of the family: 5.8S ribosomal RNA (5.8S rRNA) is a component of the large subunit of the eukaryotic ribosome. It is transcribed by RNA polymerase I as part of the 45S precursor that also contains 18S and 28S rRNA. Functionally, it is thought that 5.8S rRNA may be involved in ribosome translocation. RNAcentral also lists the same sequence under 1 other name. Lineage: Eukaryota; Viridiplantae; Streptophyta; Magnoliopsida; Zingiberales; Heliconiaceae. The record is from RNAcentral.